UAGGGAAUCUUCCGCAAUGGACGCAAGUCUGACGGAGCAACGCCGCGUGAGUGAAGAAGGAUUUCGGUUCGUAAAACUCUGUUGUUAGAGAAGAACAGCGCAUAGAGUAACUGUUAUGCGUGUGACGGUAUCUAACCAGAAAGCCACGGCUAACUACGUGCCAGCAGCCGCGGUAAUACGUAGGUGUCAAGCGUUGUCCGGAUUUAUUGGGCGUAAAGCGAGCGCAGGCGGUCAAUUAAGUCUGAUGUGAAAGCCCCCGGCUCAACCGGGGAGGGUCAUUGGAAACUGGUUGACUUGAGUGCAGAAGAGGAGAGUGGAAUUCCAUGUGUAGCGGUGAAAUGCGUAGAUAUAUGGAGGAACACCAGUGGCGAAGGCGACUCUCUGGUCUGUAACUGACGCUGAGGUUCGAAAGCGUGGGUAGCAAACAGG
Molecule: ribosomal RNA, 429 nt
Filed under: Bacteroidota bacterium
Lineage: Bacteria; Pseudomonadati; Bacteroidota
Description: Bacteroidetes bacterium partial 16S ribosomal RNA
Rfam family: Bacterial small subunit ribosomal RNA
Source: RNAcentral